RNAcentral lists this ribosomal RNA (433 nucleotides) under uncultured bacterium. RNAcentral describes it as "partial 16S ribosomal RNA". It matches the Rfam family "Bacterial small subunit ribosomal RNA", at positions 29 to 507 of the family's 1533-position model. The record is from RNAcentral.
AACGAACGCUGGCGGCAUGCCUAACACAUGCAAGUCGAACGAGACCUUCGGGUCUAGUGGCGCACGGGUGCGUAACGCGUGAGAACCUGCCCUUAGGUUCGGAAUAACUCCCCGAAAGGGGUGCUAAUACCGGAUAAUGUCUUCGGACCAAAGAUUUAUCGCCUUUGGAUGGGCCCGCGUUGGAUUAGCUAGUUGGUAGGGUAAAAGCCUACCAAGGCGACGAUCCAUAGCUGGUCUGAGAGGAUGAUCAGCCACACUGGGACUGAGACACGGCCCAGACUCCUACGGGAGGCAGCAGUGGGGAAUAUUGGACAAUGGGCGAAAGCCUGAUCCAGCAAUGCCGCGUGAGUGAUGAAGGCCUUAGGGUUGUAAAGCUCUUUUACCAGGGAUGAUAAUGACAGUACCGGGAGAAUAAGCUCCGGCUAACUCCGUG